Molecule: ribosomal RNA, 225 nt
Filed under: uncultured bacterium
Lineage: Bacteria
Description: partial 16S ribosomal RNA
Rfam family: Bacterial small subunit ribosomal RNA
Source: RNAcentral
CCUAAAAGCCAUCCCAGUUCGGAUUGCAGGCUGNAACCCGCCUGUAUGAAGUUGGAAUCGCUAGUAAUCGCGGAUCAGCAUGCCGCGGUGAAUACGUUCCCGGGCCUUGUACACACCGCCCGUCACACCAUGAGAGUCGGGAACACCCGAAGUCCGUAGCCUAACCGCAAGGGGGGCGCGGCCGAAGGUGGGUUCGAUAAUUGGGUGAAGUCGUAACAAGGUAAC